UUAUCUGGUUUGGUCCUGCCAGUAGUCAUACGCUCGUCUCAAAGAUUAAGCCAUGCAUGUGUAAGUAUAAAUAAUUCUACUUUGAAACUGCGAAUGGCUCAUUAUAUCAGUUAUAGUUUAUUAGAAAUAAUUUACUACUUGGAUAACCGUAGUAAUUCUAGGGCUAAUACAUGAGUAAAUCCUCGACUUUGAAGAGGUGUGUUUAUUAGUAUGAAAACCAUAUGCUUCGGCAUGAUAGUGAGUAAUAAUAACCUUUCAUAUCGUAUGUUGUAAUAACGAUAGUUCUUUCAAGUUUCUGCCCUAUCAGCUUUCGAUGGUAGUGCAUUGGACUACCAUGGCAGUAACGGGUAACGAAGAAUUUGGGUUCGAUUUCGGAGAGGGAGCCUGAGAGAUGGCUACCACAUCCAAGGAAGGCAGCAGGCGCGUAAAUUACCCAAUCCUGACAUAGGGAGGUAGUGACAAUAAAUCACAAUGCGGGACUUUUAGUUUUGCAAUUGGAUUGAGAACAAUGUAAAAGAGUUAUCGAUAAACAAUUGGAGGGCAAGUCUGGUGCCAGCAGCCGCGGUAAUCCAGCUCCAAUGUAGAUUUUCCCG
RNAcentral lists this ribosomal RNA (593 nucleotides) under Blastocystis sp. subtype 14. Its description in RNAcentral is "SSU rRNA". It matches the Rfam family "Eukaryotic small subunit ribosomal RNA", at positions 1 to 609 of the family's 1831-position model. Lineage: Eukaryota; Bigyra; Opalinata; Blastocystidae. The record is from RNAcentral.